GGCUAAUGCUGUUGGCCUUGCCCUGGUGAUUCCGAGACCACCCCACCCAAUUUGUGGGCCCAUCCAGGCUAUAUCCAAUGGCUUUUCCAUACAAAUGGCCUGUCUUGGCUCAUGCUGUGGGCUUUCCUAAAAUCUCUCGAGUCCACAAACCCUAAACAAGCAGCACCUUGCCUUGGUGUGCCCCGGACCUCUUGCUAAGCAGCCCCAAACAGCACCAGCGGCAGCCGCGCUGCGCUCCAUUAGAACAGUGGUUCUCAACCUUCCUAAUGCCACGACCCUUUAACACAGUUCCUCAUGUUGUGACCCCCAAUUUCAUUGUUACAAAUUGAACAUAAUUAAAGCAUAGUGAUUAAUCACAAAAACAAUAUGUAAUUAUGUGUUUUCCGAUGGUCUUAGGCGACCGCUGUGAAAGGGUCGUUCGACACCCAAAGGGGUCGCGACCCACAGGUUGAGAACCGCUGCGUUAGAAGCUUAGCCUCUCCCAGACACCUUCAAGCCCAGUGCAGGUGCUAACCAUUGCAGGUCACUUUGUAGCUCAUACCAGGUGGCCCAGGCAGGGCACAGGUGGCAGGUGAUCUAGGCCUGACCUCUCAAGAGGCCUCAGAACCAAAAACCCAGUGGCCGCUUCAGACCAGGCCAGAGCACCACCCAGCCACCUCCCCAAGUGACACCCUCAAAGGGCAGACUCAGCGGGCAGCAGGGCCCCUCAGAAGCAAAUCCUGUGCUCCAUAGGGUCAGGCCCUGCACAGCAGCUCCUCCACUGUGGUCACAGCCAGUCCUCACAGCCAAUCAGCCUGCGGGUCAAUCCCUCACAACCAAUCAGCCUGAGGGUCAAUCCCUCACAACCAAUCAGCAUGAGGUCAGUCCCCCCAGUGAAGUGCCAACAUCAAUAAGGCUCAAUUACAACAGGAGGGCACACCACACACAAGGGACUCUCCUUGAGAACCCAGAUCAGGUGACCAUGAGACUGUGCCACUGGCCCCCACAGGACAUCUACUAUGUAAAGCCACUUUACCAAGACUGGGAGACGUAGAAAAAAAAUAGAAUCCAAAAGACAUGAGGAUAGUUUAAGGGGCUUCUGGGACAACAUCAAGCUUACCAACUUUUGCAGCAUAGGGAGGUCAGAAGAGAGAACAAGGGGUUGAAAACCUAUAUGAAAACUAUGGCAGUAUCUGAUGCCUCAUCAAAAUUUUACUGAUUUACUCAUAUCAGAAUCAACUUCCUAUCCAAUGGGUUGCAACAUGUCAUUGUCAUUUUUUUUCUGUUUUGGAUUCUGAAGUUGUCCCUUGGAAUUGGCCAGUUGGAGUCUGAGUUGGCUCCAGUCUCCUCCUCACAUGUUCCUUUUAUUCUCUGAACAUUGCGUUAUUUUAUAGCUCGGAGAGAUGUAUCAGGCUCAUCUUGUACUUCUCUUGCCCUAGCCACUGAAUCAAUCAUUUCUCCAAGGCCUGCUGGUUCUAAUUUCAUGGAACAUGAAAUUUAGAAAUCAAGAUCUGGACAAAUUCAGUGCAGGAAGAAAGAGAAGGUGUGACACGGGAAAGGUCUCCUCGCUUCUCCUUUUUGAAAUCAUACAGUGUCAGGAUUCGUGUAUUCGCCUGACUUAGCUAACAUCCUUUUUAUUUAAAUUUUCCAUAAAAUAAAGAAAAUGGAAAAGAAGGAUCUCUAGUAUGAUAUUGACUAGAAGUGACAAGAGGGACAAUGCUGCUCUAAUCCCAGUAUCAAGGAGAAAUCUUUCAAUAAGUGACAACUAAAUAUGAUAUAGAUGCCCUUCACUAAAUUAAGGAAGUUUCCUUCUAUUCCUAGAGUCUAAGAGUGUCUACCAUUAAUGGAUAUUGAAAUUGUUUGGCAUCUGCAGAGAAGAUAUAAAAGGAAGGAAAUCCACAUGAUUUUUCUCUCCUUUUUCCUUAUUGUGAUAAAUGCAUUGAUCAAGUUUUGAAUUUGAAAGCCCAUUUGGUCAUGAUGUACUAUUCUUUUUAUGUAUUGCUGGAUUUCGUUGGAUAAUAUUUUGUUUAAAAUUUCUCAUCUAUUUUCAUAAGAUAAAUUUGCCUGUAAUUUUCCUUUUUCUAAUGCUCUUAUCAGGUUUUUCUAUCAAAGUUUAAUUGCAUCAUAAAACGAGUUGGGAAGUGUUCCUUUUUUCCUAUUCUCUAGGAGAGUUUUUAUAAUAUUGGUUUUAUUGCUUCCUUAAAUGUUGAGAGAAUUCACAAGUGAAACCAUCUGGGCUUGGCGUUUUCUUUGUGGGGAGGUUAUUUAAUAACUAAUUCAAUUCCUUAAUAAGAAAAGGACUAUUUUGAUUUUCCCUUUAUUCUUGUGUUAUUGUUGGUAAGGGGUGUCUUUCAAGAAAUGUGUACAUUCUAUUUUAGUAAUUAUUGACAAUUUAAACGUGUUAAAUUUUCAGAUUUAUUGGCACAUAAUUAUAAUUUUCUUUGAUUCAAUUUGAAUAUCUGUACAAAAUGUAGUGAUGGCCCCUUUUGUCAGAAGGCUAAUUUUCUCUCUCUCUCUCUCUCUCUCUCUCUCUCUCUCUCUCUCUCUCUGUCUGUCUUGUUAGUCUUGCUAAUUUUCCUUUUGAAAUAACCAACUUUCUGCUUCAUUAAUCCUUUGAUCGCACACUUGUUUUCAAGUCUCAUUAAGUGCUGCUUAUUAUUUCCUACCUUUUUCUUUGGGUUCUACUUGUUGAAAUCUGUCUAUUUCUUUAAAAUAGAUAUUAAAUUACUGGCUAAGCCUUUCUGCUUUUCAAUAUAUGUGUUUAUACUACAUGCUUCCCUCUGUGCAUGGCUUUAGCUACAUUCCACAAGUUGUCAUAUUUUAAUUACCAUUUAAUUUAAAUUGUUUUUUAAUUUCCACAUUAUUCUUGAUUCAUAAGUUAGAAGGAAGUAUGUUCCUCAUUUUUGACACAUUUAGAGAUUUUUCUGGCCAUCUUUUCUUUUUUGUCACUCCAAGCCCAUGGUGGUCAGAGACUAUAUUGCAUGAUGUCAGCUUUUGAAACUGAUUGAGGCUUGCCUGAAGGCCCGGCAUUCUGUUGAUUUUAGUAAAUGUCCCUCGUGCACUUAACAUCAAGUGUGUAUAUUAUUAUUAUAGUUUGUCAAAUAGAUCAAGUUUCUUAAUCGUCUUUUUCAAACGCCCUGUAUUGUUACCUACUUUUUUGGUCUCCUGUUCUAUCUUUUUUAAAAAAUUAAAUAUUUAAGUCUUUUGCUGCUA
Molecule: long non-coding RNA, 3192 nt
Organism: Myotis daubentonii (Daubenton's bat)
Lineage: Eukaryota; Metazoa; Chordata; Mammalia; Chiroptera; Vespertilionidae
Source: RefSeq, a predicted model, not a curated record